Molecule: ribosomal RNA, 446 nt
Filed under: uncultured bacterium
Lineage: Bacteria
Description: partial 16S ribosomal RNA
Rfam family: Bacterial small subunit ribosomal RNA
Source: RNAcentral
CCUACGGGAGGCAGCAGUCGAGAAUCAUUCACAAUGGGGGAAACCCUGAUGGUGCGACGCCGCGUGGGGGAAUGAAGGUCUUCGGAUUGUAAACCCCUGUCAUGUGGGAGCAAAUUAAAACGAUCGUACCACAAGAGGAAGAGCCUGCUAACUCUGUGCCAGCAGCCGCGGUAAUACAGAGGUCUCAAGCGUUGUUCGGAAUCACUGGGCGUAAAGCGUGCGUAGGCUGUUUCGUAAGUCGUGUGUGAAAGGCGCGGGCUCAACCCGCGGACGGCACAUGAUACUGCGAGACUAGAGUAAGGGAGGGGGAACCGGAAUUCUCGGUGUAGCAGUGAAAUGCGUAGAUAUCGAGAGGAACACUCGUGGCGAAGGCGGGUUCCUGGACAUUAACUGACGCUGAGGCACGAAGGCCAGGGGAGCGAAAGGGAUUAGAUACCCGUGUAGUC